Molecule: ribosomal RNA, 403 nt
Filed under: uncultured bacterium
Lineage: Bacteria
Description: bacterial SSU rRNA
Rfam family: Bacterial small subunit ribosomal RNA
Source: RNAcentral
UGAGGAAUAUUGCACAAUGGGGGAAACCCUGAUGCAGCAACGCCGCGUGGAGGAUGACAGCCCUUGGGUUGUAAACUCCUUUUCUGUGGGACGAGAGAGGACGGUACCACAGGAAUAAGUCACGGCUAACUACGUGCCAGCAGCCGCGGUAAUACGUAGGUGGCGAGCGUUAUCCGGAAUUACUGGGCGUAAAGCGUACGCAGGCGGCUUGUUAAGUCUGACGUGAAAUCUCCCGGCUUAACUGGGAGAGGUCGUUGGGAACUGGCAAGCUUGAGGCAAUGAGAGGGGCAUGGAAUUCCCGGUGUAGUGGUGGAAUGCGUAGAUAUCGGGAGGAACACCAGAGGCGAAAGCGGUGCCCUGGCAUUGGCCUGACGCUCAUGUACGAAAGCGUGGGGAGCGAACG